GUUUUUCGGUGCUCCGGGCGAACCUCAAUACCGUAAGCGACUCACGGCGCGCCGCUGAAAUGGCUUCCUCGGCUACGGAGGGAACGACCGCACUGGCUGUCGAGAACGACGCAACGUCCGCGGAGACAACAGCAGCCGAGGGCCGAGGCGAACCGGAACCGGGGGAACCGGGGGAACCGGGCAGGAGCGCAGCGCCGAAAAUGGAAGCGGUUGACGCGGAGGCCGGCGAAGAGAAGCCCGCUGCCGCGGCAGGCGAGGCCGCGAGUGAGGCGGUGACGGACGGCAGCGCCGUGACGGUGUGUCCGGGAGAACCGGAGCAGAAGAUCGAGCUGCAGGAAACGCCGGGAGGUGGAAACGAAAACCCCGCCGCCGAUAGUGCAUUGAAAGAAGCGAAGGAGGAACCGGGAGCGGGCGGCCGGUGCUCCGGGAUAAACUGCGAAAAGAGCAAAACAGUUCGUGAAGAUGGGGAGAAACCCGGCGGCGGGGGCGGGGCGCUGGGCGACGAGAGGCGGCCGAGCCUGGAGAUCUCCUCCUCGGACGGGGAGCCGCUGAGCCGCAUGGACACGGAGGACAGCAUCAGCAGCACCCUGAUGGAGAUGGAGAGCACCGUGUCCAGUGGGCGCUCCACCCCUGCUAUGAUGAACGGACAGAGCAGUGUCGGCUCCUCCGGGGCCAAGACGGUGGCGUACUCCUGCUGCUGGGACCUCUGUCCCCAGUGCUUCAACUCCAGUCCGGAUCUGGCAGAGCACAUCCGAGGCAUUCAUGUGGACGGACAGAGAGGAGGGGUGUUCUUGUGUCUGUGGAAGGGUUGUAAAGUGUACAACACGCCGUCCACCAGUCAGAGUUGGCUCCAGAGGCACAUGCUGACCCACAGCGGAGACAAGCCCUUCAAGUGUGUAGUCGGUGGCUGCCACACCAGCUUUGCUUCCCAGGGGGGGUUGGCUCGCCACGUCCCGAGCCACUUCAGCCAGCAGAGCUCCUCCAAAAUGUCCAGCCAGGCCAAACUCAAGGAAGAGUCCUCCUCCAAGGCGGGCCUCAACAAGAGGAAGAAACCCAAGAGCAAACGCAGGUGCUCCCUACGGAUCUGUUUCCCUCCUCCAGCGAGGCCCCACGACUUCUUCGAUGCCCAAACCAUGGAUGCUAUUCGGCACAGGGCCAUCUGUCUUAACCUCGCCACCCACAUCGAAAGUGUGGGCAGCGGCCACAGUGUGGUGUUCAACAGCACGGUGGUGGCCAAAAGGAAAGAGCGGUCCGGCAAGGUGAAGGUCCUCCUCCACUGGACACCUGAGGACAUACUACCUGACGUGUGGGUGAAUGAGACGGAGCGAUCCCAGCUGAAGUCCAAAGUGGUGCACUUAUCCCAGUUACCGCAGGACGCCGCCAUGCUGCUCGACCCAAACAUCUAUAGUGCAUCGCGUUCCACUCAACAUUCACUCCGGUGAUAUUUGAAUCCUGUGCCGACCGCGUCGACUCGUCACUGAGAUGAAAAAACAAGAGCACUUCCUCAAAAGCAGCUGAAGCGCAGCCUGUAAAGAGUCAUCUGUGGACUUGAUACCGAAGGGAACUGCUUAUUCAUAGGAGCUUUAUCUAUAUGGGAUGCGACGCUCUUCAUCCGUCUCAGCUGAAAGGGGCCGAGUGAAGUGACGAUAAAAGGAAAUGAAACUUGGUAACGCUGCACAAGCGGGACUCCGCUUUUUUUGCUUUUUUACGUUUGUGUUCAUCAAAAAUUCAAAUGAAUGUUUUUUUUAACAAGCAACAAAUUCAAACAUAUUCUUAAUACCCAAUGGUGUAAAAAGAUGUUUUUGUAACUAUGUCAGAAAAUACAGCAUAUUUUAUAAAUGUUUUUGUGUAAACUAUUUAUGCAUAUUUGUAACUUAUUUUUAUACCAUGGUAAUGCUGUAAUGUGGAUUUUUGUGAAAGUUUUAAACGGAGCCGUAUUUACUGUGAUAAUCUAUAUCAACUGUCACUUGAAGGCAUAUUCGGACAUUUGUAGUUGUAACUAAGCUGUACAUGACAUAAAUCUUCUCCUAUGUAUACCUCCUGAAUGCAGUACUUACCCGUGUACAUGACGAUGAAGACUGAGGUUGUGCCAGGCAUGAUCUUCAUCUGACCCAGUUUAUAGCCAACAUAUAAAGGACUAACAUCUCAUCACACACUCCAAGUGUAAAUCACAACUUCCUCUUCCCCUAGUGACAUAAACUGUGUAUAUCAUAGUUGUUAUUACACAUUUCUGCUAUUUAAGCACUCAGAAGUUAUCGUUGAAAUAAAGUUGUUUUCUACUGUAUGUGAUGCAAGCGGAAUACUCUGUAAUAAAAGGAGGAUGUCGA
Molecule: RNA transcript, 2327 nt
Organism: Pseudoliparis swirei
Lineage: Eukaryota; Metazoa; Chordata; Actinopteri; Perciformes; Liparidae
Gene name: zinc finger protein aebp2-like
Exons: 10
Source: RefSeq, a predicted model, not a curated record